This 370-nucleotide small RNA is filed under the name Pongo abelii (Sumatran orangutan). RNAcentral describes it as "processed transcript". Lineage: Eukaryota; Metazoa; Chordata; Mammalia; Primates; Hominidae. The record is from RNAcentral.
GCCACAGACCUCCACCAGCACGAAGUGGACAUCGUUGCGUGGCAGAUAAUACCAACCUAUAUGUGUUUGGAGGUUAUAACCCAGAUUAUGAUGAAUCAGGAGGGCCUGAUAAUGAAGACUAUCCUCUCUUCAGGGAACUCUGGAGGUAUCAUUUUGCUACAGGAGUAUGGCACCAGAUGGGCACAGAUGGCUACAUGCCCCGGGAAUUGGCAUCUAUGUCACCGUUCACAGCAUCUUCACUAGGAGUAGAUUCUAUCUCAAGAAACCACUUUCACUGAGCACAGUGACUCAUGCCUGUAAUCCCAGCACUUUGGGAGGCCGAGGCAGGAGGAUCACUGGAGCCCAGGAGUUGAAGACCAGCUUGGGCAAC